GCUCCAUUGGAUUUGUUUCUGAAGCUCCAUCGAGCUCAAGAAGCUGUGGAUCUUCUCCAUUAGGUAAAUCUUUUUCUCAAUUCACCUUUUCCAUUUUUGAGAUUCAUAUGCUAUAAACUGCUUGAGGGUGAUAUAUGAAGUUGAUUCACCAUGUUGGUUUUGUCUGAUUACUUGAAUAUAAGAUGAUUGAGCUUGCUGAAAUUCUUGAAACAAU
RNAcentral lists this long non-coding RNA (214 nucleotides) under Lathyrus oleraceus (garden pea). RNAcentral's name for it is "Pisum sativum (pea) long non-coding RNA (PSAT_LNC018110)". Lineage: Eukaryota; Viridiplantae; Streptophyta; Magnoliopsida; Fabales; Fabaceae. The record is from RNAcentral.